Thalassophryne amazonica is the source of this 705-nucleotide long non-coding RNA. RefSeq lists it as uncharacterized. The record is from RefSeq and is a predicted model, not a curated record. NCBI's taxonomy places the organism in Eukaryota, Metazoa, Chordata, Actinopteri, Batrachoidiformes, Batrachoididae. The transcript is spliced from 3 exons.
AAGUCGGGCAAUGAUUGUGCUUUUGUGAGCAUCUGAAGAUUGUAGGUUUUUAGCUAGGUCUACAUUUGCAUACAUGAACAGCUCUUGUUUAAAUAUGUUUAAUAACUUUGUAAAGCUGUAAGAAACAGACCUACAGCACUUCAUUUCAUUAUAAAUGGCCCGACUAAUGUCCUCCAGUGCUUCUGAUGGACAUGUGCAAUGUUAGUUAGUGUUAAUAUUGGCAACGCCUAGAAAUGUAUUCUACUCAUUUGUAACUACUGUGAAAUUGAUACUGCUGCUUUUUGGAUGACCUAUAAAUGGCAAGUUUCUACAAGGGACAAAUUUGGAAAAUGCUGAGAUGUUGUUGAAAACCAUACCAAAGUACUACUUUUGUUAUAAUAUUCAGCAAAAAAAAAAAAGUAUAACUUGACCCAUUUGCAAUCAGUGUUGAUAAGGCUACUUUUACAAAUAUAAUGGGUUACAGAUUACUAGUUAAAAGGUUAAAAAAAUGUAACAUGUAAGUAAUGCAAUUGUUUUAAAGAUUCUUCAGAGUAAUGUAACUUAUUAUUUUUGGUUAUUUUUCUAACAAAUAUUAUAAACUGGACAAUAAAGCUGAAAAAUCAUUUAACUUAAACCUAGCAGUGGAGCCCUCACAACGACUAUUAUUGCAUUGUCAUCUGCAGAGAACAUCUGCUGCUCCCCAGCAUCUCCCAGUUCUCCUCUUUU